GUCCACGCCGUAAACGAUGAGUGCUAGAUGCUGUGGGUAUUGACCCCCGCGGUGUCGCAGCCAACGCGUUAAGCACUCCGCCUGGGGAGUACGGCCGCAAGGCUAAAACUCAAAGGAAUUGACGGGGGCCCCGCACAAGCGGUGGAGCAUGUGGUUCAAUUCGACGCAACGCGCAGAACCUUACCUGGGUUAAAUCCACUAGAAGCUGACAGAGAUGUCGGUUUGCCCUUCGGGGAGCUAGUGAGAAGGUGCUGCAUGGCUGUCGU
RNAcentral lists this ribosomal RNA (266 nucleotides) under uncultured bacterium. Its description in RNAcentral is "partial 16S ribosomal RNA". It matches the Rfam family "Bacterial small subunit ribosomal RNA", at positions 793 to 1055 of the family's 1533-position model. The record is from RNAcentral.